This is a non-coding RNA of Caenorhabditis elegans, 125 nucleotides long. The record is from Ensembl. Lineage: Eukaryota; Metazoa; Nematoda; Chromadorea; Rhabditida; Rhabditidae.
CUCACGCGUGCACACCUACCGUUGUCCGUGUCUUAUUCGUUACGGUGUGAACAAAUAUUUUCCCACAUCGCUUCUCGACACAUGUACAUAGGGUGUAUAGUUUCGGAAACGAGUAAAACCCCUUC